GGAUGCAGUAGUACCAGCUCUCCUGCAGAGGUUCGGCCGGGAUCGUCAAAACGACUAAACUCGCAGGUGGCAGUAACAAAAAAUGGUAGUCGUUCUUCAUUUUUCCAACUGUUGAUAUCCGAUAUUUCUAAUACUCGUUCGUGCGACCAACCAACUUCACCUCCGUGCCCUGUAUAGUUUACAAUUAACGCGCCCCGUUCUACUCUUUGAUUUAAUGCAUUUUUCGCAU
Molecule: unclassified non-coding RNA, 229 nt
Filed under: uncultured bacterium
Lineage: Bacteria
Description: contains 16S-23S intergenic spacer region
Source: RNAcentral